AGAACCCUCUCCCUGUUUCCUAGCCGCCGGGUUCUUUUCCCCCAGCGCCGAUGCAGCACCACACCGCACUCCGCACACCUCUGUUGAAGAUUUGAAGUCCAGGCUCAGGCCGGCCGCGCUGAAGAUGUGCAACUGAUGAGGCCGAUAUGUCCCAUGGUGACGCGCUGUGCCACCAAGGUAGCCGGAUCGAGCCGGUCUGGGCGCCUGGCCUGGUGGAUCUGGAGAUCUCUGCCACGACGGCCAGGGGCUGCGCCAUGCUUGGCUGUCGCCUCCCCUUCGUCUCUGCGAGGCACGCAUCCGUCGUCGGGGUGAUGCGCCCUGCAGCCCGCUUGGGGGAUGCGCGGUGCAGGGCUGCUCCCUCAGAUUCGUCGCUGUGCGGCACGCAUCAGUCACCUUCGCCGUCUCCUCAUCGUCAGUUAAGUGACAGAGAUGAGAGAUCCUUCUCCCUUGGUUUUGCUUCUGUUUCACCUUCCCUUUUUCUUCUGAUUUUCCAAGACGGUCUAACUGUUUGUCUACGCAUAGGUAGUUUUCUUGGAAUCCUAAUUGGUGGAGACUUUCAACCACUCACGAGUAUGGUUUGAUAAGAAUCCUGCAUUGAAGUCAAGGAAUCAUCCAAAGAAAGAUGGUGUACCUGAUUGAAGGGUUAGCACUGUUACCCCUGCAAACAUUUCCUUCUUCAGAGAUAUUGGUGCAUGGGAGCAUAUUCAACAACAAUGACAUGUGUUCUUGAUGACUUCAGCCUAUGCGGGCGGAUCUACGGCCAGAAAAGUGAGAAGACUCUCGGUUGAUGUCCGGCGAGGGGUGGUGCUGGCUGUAGAGUAGCAUAGUGUUCUCGGAGUAGCAUAAUGUUUUGGAAGACAUGCUUGUACAAUUAUUUUUUGUUUUUUUUUCAUUCGCCUCCUGCAAAGUGUAUUUUUGGUGUGUUUGUGUAAUUUAUGUUUUAAUUACAUGAGCAUAUAUUUUCUGUCAAA
Triticum dicoccoides is the source of this 971-nucleotide long non-coding RNA. RefSeq lists it as uncharacterized. The transcript has 2 exons. The record is from RefSeq and is a predicted model, not a curated record. NCBI's taxonomy places the organism in Eukaryota, Viridiplantae, Streptophyta, Magnoliopsida, Poales, Poaceae.